This 16-nucleotide ribosomal RNA is filed under the name Cuphea acinifolia. RNAcentral describes it as "partial 18S ribosomal RNA". The record is from RNAcentral. Lineage: Eukaryota; Viridiplantae; Streptophyta; Magnoliopsida; Myrtales; Lythraceae.
CAGAACGACCAGAGAA